UUUGAACCGAAUGCUCACCUCUAGCUCCUUGUGCGACCGAGAGUAUGUGAGGUACAUUGAUGGCAAUCUGCAUUGUAGGCGACUGAGAGGUGCAAUCGUUGUUCGGGAUGGUUGAACAUUGGCUCAGAGGGAGGAUGUUGAACAAAGUUAUGAUAGGUAUACCCCCUCGUGCCGGCUAGAUAUGCCGAUGACCGACCCUAAGGCUAAAAGAGAUCGUCAGAGCUUAGAUAUGCUGGACGGGUGAAGUUCAUCUUUUGGGGCUACAAGUGUCAGGGGAUUAGAAAGUUUAAGUAGUAAUAUG
This 301-nucleotide unclassified non-coding RNA is filed under the name Hevea brasiliensis (rubber tree). Lineage: Eukaryota; Viridiplantae; Streptophyta; Magnoliopsida; Malpighiales; Euphorbiaceae. The record is from RNAcentral.